UGGUGUGCUCAUUUGUGGGUGGGGAUGCAGCUGUGCUUGGGCUGAGACAGGCAUGUGGCCAAGGCCCACCCAUCCUUGGGAGCAAAAGGAGAACCAAACCAGAGCCCAGAGUGCUGCCUGCCCUAGGCUUUUUCUGAAUCUCCGGGGACUUCGCCCCUGGAAGCGGAGUGGAAGGGACAGUCCACCAACAGCCGCCAUUAUGGCUUCCAACAUGGAGAAUCACACCUCUCUUUAUAUUCAACAGGAAACAGCGGCUAACAACUCCAGGAACCAGAUGACUGGAGCUGAGGACAUAGCACUAGAACUGUCAAGACGUGUGUUCCCAAGAAGCAGAGCCCAUGUUCACGGAGUUCCUGCGGUGUUCCUGGGAUCAGCUACUAUGGAAAUUCAAGGAAGACCAUGGGGCACCAAUGAUGCAGCUGGAGCCAUGUGUGCUUCCUUUUAGAAAGGGGAUCCAUGCAGCUCAUUAAAAUAUUUCUGCUGCGUCUGCUGCACUGCAGAACAUGAACAAGCCAGGUUCCAAGCGCCUACCACCCUAGAUGAAGCAGCUUCACUAUGCCUUCCCACCAUGAUAGAUGGCAUUUUCAGAAACCAUAAUCUGAAGACUCCCUGACAGUGCACUGUUUACAUUGAGUGUCCUGCCACAAUGUGUCUCUCAUUGGCCUACAACUCAUCAAUUAAGCUACGCUGGCCAGCCAGAAAGCCCCAGACAUCUACCUGUCUCUGGAGAGCUGGAAUUACAAGUGAGUCACCACACAGUUUUUGUGUUGGAUCAGGGGAUUGAACUCAGGUCCUCAGGCUCACACAACGAGUACUUAAUCAACGAACUAUUCCUCCAGCCCCAGGAGAGACUGAAUAUUCUAAUCUCCAUAGCUGGAGCUGCUCUGAUGACUAAAUGGUUAAUAAAACACU
Molecule: long non-coding RNA, 912 nt
Organism: Myodes glareolus (Bank vole)
Lineage: Eukaryota; Metazoa; Chordata; Mammalia; Rodentia; Cricetidae
Source: RefSeq, a predicted model, not a curated record